UGGAAUGUAGCUUAGUGGUAGAGCGCUUGCCUAGCAUGCAUGAAGCCCUGGGUUUGAUUCCUCAGUACCAC
Molecule: transfer RNA, 71 nt
Filed under: Dipodomys ordii (Ord's kangaroo rat)
Lineage: Eukaryota; Metazoa; Chordata; Mammalia; Rodentia; Heteromyidae
Rfam family: tRNA
About the family: Transfer RNA (tRNA) molecules are approximately 80 nucleotides in length.
Source: Rfam by way of RNAcentral